CUUCUAACAGAUCGUGCUCUUGCCUUUUAUACGAAAUAAAAUGAAAUUUGCAUUUAUUUUAACGUUUGAGUAUAUCGUAUAAAAUGGUAUGUCUGGCGAGAAAAGGUCGAAUUCUGUCUUGAGAUUGGGAAUAACAAGCAUUUUAAGGCAAGCAAAAAUUUGAUCGGUGAAUUUUACCGGAAGAAGAAUGUCAUAGAAGCUUUCUCGUGUUACAAAUACAAUUUUACAACACAAAGCUGGGCACAAAAAUUUCUUUCUCUUUCUCGAGUAUUUGAAUAUGCUAAGGCCAAUACAAAAUCCGUUAUUGUAAA
Styela clava is the source of this 311-nucleotide long non-coding RNA. RefSeq lists it as uncharacterized. The record is from RefSeq and is a predicted model, not a curated record. Lineage: Eukaryota; Metazoa; Chordata; Ascidiacea; Stolidobranchia; Styelidae.